CUCAGAUAAUCCGCCCAUCUCGGCAUCCCAAAGUGCUGGGAUUCCAGGCAUGGGCCACCGCGCCUGGCCUGAAGCAGGUCUCCAAGGCACCUCUCUCUCUGCCCUGUGAGCUUACACUCACAGCCAUCACAUUAGACUGGACACAGGUGGGCUUCAAGGCACGGUAGCCACUCCAUGAACCUGGGAGGAGGCAUUUACAGCAGGUGGGCUGCCCGGAAGCUGGAGGCUGAGCCCUCCGCUGCCCUGCAUCUGUUGUAGGAAAAAGCCUCGUGAGCUGGGAGCUGAUCUGGGAACGUGUGGUCUGAACUCCUGCUGCCCAGGCUUGGGGGCGGAGGGGGGGUUCCCUGUUCCCCAGGCUCAGCGUGCCAGCCCCCCCGCUGCAGUGGGGCUGGUGACAGAUGCAUUCCGAGAACAAGCAGACACCUCUGUGCUCACCCACUUUAAUUAGGUGAAGGAGUCAGGUGAUCCCAUUAGGAUCACCUGGAAAUACCACGCCGGGCCUGUGCUCCACCCACACAUGCUCCAAAUCGCCGCCUGCCUGCUGCAACUACUGUUUGGUGAAGCCCAGGAUGUCGGUUUGCCCUGUUCUGACUCGUUCAUGUUGAUUACUCAAUUAACAGUCCUGCCAGUUUUCUCCAAUGUAAAGUUAGUAUCUUUUCUUGGUAAUUGACAAGUAAUAUACAGGGAGAUGUUUUGAGAUCAUGUAAAUAUCCUGUUUCUCACUAAACUUCCAUCCUCUAAUUUUUGCUUCCAUGAAUGAAUCUCCACUGGAAAAAAAGUAUUCUUAGGAUGGUUGCACAUUGUUACUGCAUUCUUGAGAAGCCUAAAAGCAAGCGUGUAUCAAAGGACCUUUGACGUCCUGGCUUUAUUUCAAGGGGGAUAUCUCAAGGCAACAGGAAGAAAUGUGAAGAAAGAUUUAGAUGCAAAGAUUUUAAUUGCAACAGUACUUAUAAGAGCAAAACUUAGAAAUAACCUAAGUUAAGCAAUACAGUAAAGGAACAUCAAGAAAUACGAAGCAACCUGUAAAACAAUGUUUUUGAAGAGAUCUCCACCACAUAAUGCUUAGUAAUAUGCUAAGUAAUGUAAUAUUUGGCUAAAUGCAAUGUGAGAUGCUGGAUUGGAUGGUGGAACAGAGAAAGGGCAUCAGUGGAAAAGCUGAUGAAAUUCAAGUACAGCCCAUAGUUCAGUUAAUAGUAAUGUGCCGAUAUUAAUUUCUCAGGUUUUAUUUAAUGAAUGUAUCAUAGGCAUGUAAGAUAUUCAUAUUGGGAGGACUGAGUGAGAGACAAAGGAGAAUGGUCUCUACUGUCUUUGCAACUUUUCUGUAAACUUGGAUUAUUCCUAAAUAAAAAUGCCAUUAAAAACUUAACCUGGAAG
This is a long non-coding RNA of Sapajus apella (tufted capuchin), 1374 nucleotides long. RefSeq lists it as uncharacterized. NCBI's taxonomy places the organism in Eukaryota, Metazoa, Chordata, Mammalia, Primates, Cebidae. The record is from RefSeq and is a predicted model, not a curated record. The transcript is spliced from 3 exons.